This 223-nucleotide long non-coding RNA is filed under the name Pelobates cultripes (western spadefoot toad). The record is from RNAcentral. Lineage: Eukaryota; Metazoa; Chordata; Amphibia; Anura; Pelobatidae.
GUUCACCGCCGAAGUCACACAGCGCCUCUGGAAGUUUUGUGACAUUAAGCCGGUCAUUAGUUCCCCUUACCACCCCCAGACGAAUGGGCUCUGCGAACGUUUCAACGGUACAUUGAAACAAAUGCUCCGAACCUUCGCAGAGACCCACAAGGACUGGGAGAAGUUCCUGCCGCACCUCCUCUUUGCUUACCGGGAGGUGCCGCAGGAAUCCACUGGGUUCUCC